AUUGAACGCUGGCGGCAUGCCUAACACAUGCAAGUCGAACGAGUGGCGGACGGGUGAGUAAUGUCUGGGAAACUGCCUGAUGGAGGGGGCUAACUACUGGAAACGGUAGCUAAUACCGCAUACCAUCAGAUGUGCCCAGAUGGGAUUAGCUAGUUGGUGGGGUAACGGCUCGACAAGGCGACGAUCCCUAGCUGGUCUGAGAGGAUUACCAGCCACACUGGAACUGAGACACGGACCAGACUCCGCCGGGAGGCAGCAGUGGGGAAUAUUGCACAAUGGGCGCAAGUCUGAUACAGCCAUGCGGCGAGUAGGAAGAAGGCCUGCGGGUUGUAAAGUACUUUCAGCGUGGAGGCGUUACCCGAAGAAGAAGCACCGGCUAACUACGUGCCAGCAGCCGCGGUAAUAC
Molecule: ribosomal RNA, 406 nt
Filed under: uncultured bacterium
Lineage: Bacteria
Description: partial 16S ribosomal RNA
Rfam family: Bacterial small subunit ribosomal RNA
Source: RNAcentral